Molecule: long non-coding RNA, 2502 nt
Filed under: Citrus x clementina
Lineage: Eukaryota; Viridiplantae; Streptophyta; Magnoliopsida; Sapindales; Rutaceae
Description: Citrus clementina (C. clementina) long non-coding RNA (CCLE_LNC004059)
Source: RNAcentral
UUGCUCCCAAUAUAAGACAAAGUAAACACAUAAAAUUAGAUUCUAAUCUCCAUUCCAUACUUUCAUUCCAGUGUAAGUAAAAAACAUACUCCCACUCUCAGUCCACACUCUCAAUCUUAGGAUUCUCACUCCUUAGGAUUCUCACUCUAAUCCAAAAUGUAAACGCUACCUUAAUGUCUUUCAAAUCAAAUUUGUUGUUAACGCACUUCCAUUUAAUGAGGAUACACUGCUAGUACUAGUAAAGUUAUAAUAUUAUUGCUAACCAGUUUGAUAAAAAGGUGGUGAAAUGCCUUCAUUUGCAGCCAUUUAACGAUGAAAUUACAUGGAGGCUAAUUCUUUAUUCUAUUAAUUUUUAGGACCGUAAAGCUCAUUUAUCAAAAAUAUUGGAGUUGUUUCAUAGAUCAAAUGAAAAAAAUUUCUAAUAAUAUAUGUGAAAUGACUUUAGCAAUGGAUGUUAAUUUAUAGGUGGGUAAAUGAUUGUCAAUGGUCACAACAAUAAUAACUAGUAAACAUUUUUGCAUACCUUUAAAUAUAAAAUCAUAACAAUAAAUUUAAGAAAGAAUAUCUAUUAAGAUAAAUAAAUGCGAGAAUUUGAUAGAUUUGAGCUAAAGGAGGUACAUGUUAAAUUUGAAGAACUUACACUAAAUAAUUCUUUCUUUUAAUAUAUUUGAUCCAUUCUAAAAGUUCCGACUAACUAUAGGCUUUUUUUUUUUUUAAUGUUGAGCCCAUCUUUUAUGUUGUGCCAACUCGUCCCCAUUCCCCAAAAUGGUUCAAAAGCUACUUAGGUCAUUUCAGUAGAGUCAAGGACUUAUGUGAUAAAAAUAAUAACCUAUAUCCUUGAUUCAUAAACCAUAAAAGUUGAGGGGACCAGCAAUCUUAGCGCCCAUUUCAAAGGGUACAAUGAGAGGAUGCGUAAGAGUGUAGCCUUUGAACGUGGAUUCUAUUGUAGAGGAUGCAACGCUGAUUAACGCGGUUUGCAUCCGUUGUUUUGGAGAUUGCCACGUGGCGCGAUUAUACAUGUCUGUCUUUUGUUUUAAGAAAAUUGGCCUGGCUGUCGGUGGUUCUGUAGUACGUAUGGCACGUCUCGGAUCCGAUAGUACUAGUGGGAACAGAUUGAGGAACCCACUCUUUUAUUUUGUCUGUCAGCCGUCUGAUUAAUUAAUUUUAAUGGAUCAUGAUAGAAAUUCCUUGUAUUAUUGUUACAAAAUCUGUUCAUGCCUUAAUUGUUUUUGACCGUGGAAAAAAUACGUUUGCAUUAAUAAAUUAGUCGGGCACUAUAACAAUGGCAGGCAUAUCAUUCUCGUGCGGCUGCAGCACCAACGAACACGAUGCCUACGACUUGUAGUUUUUUUUAUCAAGAUCUUGCUAAAUUAUAUAAUAAUGUAAUUGUAUUAAAAUAAGAGUUAUUUUGAAUAAGUUUUAUGUAGUUUAAUUAUCAAAUACUCUUUAAGUUAUUCGACACAACUCUUAUCCUAAGAGAAGAGUAGAGGAGAGGAAUGGAAAAGAGAGAUGGGGAAAGAAAAUGAAAAAAAAAAUUAUCAAUUUCAGUUUUAUUAUUUAGUUUCAUAUAGAAUUCUUCUCUUCGUCCUUUUGUUUCUUUAUAGUUACUGAUCUCUGAAUUAUUAAGUCAGAUAACAUUAAAAACAUAUUUAGUCAGAAGAAAUGAAAGAGAUUAGAAGAAUAAAAAGAAAAGAGUGAGAGAGAAAAUAAAAAAAAAAGCUGGUUAAUUAUAAUUUUAUUAUUUGAUUUAAUAUAGAAUUCAUCUCUUUUCUGGUUAUUUCUUAUUUCUUUUUUUUUUCUUCUCAUCUCAUUUCCUAUUAUUUCUUCAAAUCAAACAUGCAAUAAGUGCAUCCAUUUUGACAGCCAUCAGAGCAAGACUAACAUCCAAAGCUACUAUUUACUGCUCACAUACUUCAAAAUAAUAAUAAUGGUGGAAACUUAAAGUCAAGGGGGAACAUGAAAGACAAAAAUGUAAAACAAAAUGCCUAUCCAACAUAAUAUAAAUGAAUUUAACCCUCCAAUCAAAUUAAUCAUUAAUCAUGAUUUUUGGUCAAUAUGUUCCAAUAAUAGUAUUUAAAGUGAAACAACUAAAGAGAUCUGGAGAUCUGGAGGAGUUUAGAUCUGACAUUGGUUCAUUUAAAAAAGGCAAAAAAAAAAAGAAAGAAAAAGAAAUAGCAAUGGAAUAUUGUGAAGUCAAGUUCAAGUAGUAGAAAAUGAAGAAGCCUGGGAGGGUGAAUGCGGAGAGCACAACGUUGACAGAAGAGCUAAAAGCAUGUGCUGGUCAUGCGAAGUCGUGACACGAUUGAAUAUUGAUAUUGACUCAGCAACAGAAGCAUUACUUCACAUGAGCAUAUAUGCCAUUAAAUAAAGAGCAAAGUCAUCUCAAUAUCUAAGAAUCAUUUUGAAAUUAUUUCUGAAAUAAGAAUGGAUCAGUCUUAUAUUUAACUAGGAAAUAGAACCGCACUUCAUGUGCCUUUAAAAAAAGAAUUUAGUAUUAUCUUU